This 645-nucleotide ribosomal RNA is filed under the name bacterium HN2-5-13. RNAcentral's name for it is "bacterial SSU rRNA". It matches the Rfam family "Bacterial small subunit ribosomal RNA", at positions 338 to 974 of the family's 1533-position model. The record is from RNAcentral.
CCUACGGGAGGCAGCAGUAGGGAAUCUUCCACAAUGGGCGAAAGCCUGAUGGAGCAACGCCGCGUGAGUGAAGAAGGUUUUCGGAUCGUAAAACUCUGUUGUAAGGGAAGAACAAGUGCAGUAGUAACUGGCUGCACCUUGACGGUACCUUAUUAGAAAGCCACGGCUAACUACGUGCCAGCAGCCGCGGUAAUACGUAGGUGGCAAGCGUUGUCCGGAAUUAUUGGGCGUAAAGCGCGCGCAGGCGGUUUCUUAAGUCUGAUGUGAAAGCCCUCGGCUUAACCGAGGAGGGUCAUUGGAAACUGGGAGACUUGAGUGCAGAAGAGGAAAGUGGAAUUCCAAGUGUAGCGGUGAAAUGCGUAGAGAUUUGGAGGAACACCAGUGGCGAAGGCGACUUUCUGGUCUGUAACUGACGCUGAGGCGCGAAAGCGUGGGGAGCAAACAGGAUUAGAUACCCUGGUAGUCCACGCCGUAAACGAUGAGUGCUAAGUGUUAGGGGGUUUCCGCCCCUUAGUGCUGCAGCUAACGCAUUAAGCACUCCGCCUGGGGAGUACGGUCGCAAGACUGAAACUCAAAGGAAUUGACGGGGGCCCGCACAAGCGGUGGAGCAUGUGGUUUAAUUGGAAGCAACGCGAAGAACCUUAC